AAAUUGAAGAGUUUGAUCAUGGCUCAGAUUGAACGCUGGCGGCAGGCCUAACACAUGCAAGUCGAACGGUAACAGGAAGCAGCUUGCUGCUUCGCUGACGAGUGGCGGACGGGUGAGUAAUGUCUGGGAAACUGCCUGAUGGAGGGGGAUAACUACUGGAAACGGUAGCUAAUACCGCAUAACGUCGCAAGACCAAAGGGGGGGGACCUUCGGGCCUCUUGCCAUCGGAUGUGCCCAGAUGGGAUUAGCUUGUUGGUGGGGUAACGGCUCACCAAGGCGACGAUCCCUAGCUGGUCUGAGAGGAUGACCAGCCACACUGGAACUGAG
Molecule: ribosomal RNA, 327 nt
Filed under: Escherichia coli
Lineage: Bacteria; Pseudomonadati; Pseudomonadota; Gammaproteobacteria; Enterobacterales; Enterobacteriaceae
Description: bacterial SSU rRNA
Rfam family: Bacterial small subunit ribosomal RNA
Source: RNAcentral